Molecule: transfer RNA, 3138 nt
Filed under: Hevea brasiliensis (rubber tree)
Lineage: Eukaryota; Viridiplantae; Streptophyta; Magnoliopsida; Malpighiales; Euphorbiaceae
Source: RNAcentral
UACAAAUUAAAUAUAUUUUACUUCCAUGUUUGGUUUUUUUCUCAAAUGUGAGAAACAAAAACCCCCGUAAACACAAGCUCCCAGCGAGGUUUGAACUCGCGACCUUUCGCUUAAGAAGCGAACGCACUGUCACUAUGCUAUGGAAGCAGCCCGGAAUUCGUUGAGGCUGAUACUUUUUUUAUAAUUUUCAAAGGGUGCCGGUAUAACAAAACCCUAGCAGGAGGAGAGGGAUCGGAGAAGGAGAAGAUGUGCGGGAUCGCCCUGAUCAUCUGUGGCAUUCGCAUCGACUUAUCGGCUACUCUCCUCCAUUCUCAAUCUCCUGGUCCUAACCCUGAGCCGGUAAGCAGUUCAAAUUUUGUGUUUUCCGUCGAUGAUCUCGAAGCAGCUCUCCGGAGACGAGGCCCUGAUAGCUUGGGCAGCAAGAAGGUCAUAAUUUCUUCGAAGGACCAAGAAUUGUUCUCUGCAAUCGAGGAUGAAGACGGUGGUGCUAAACUGCUGGAUUGUGCAAAUGGAGAAACUUGUUUGCAAGUUCCAUAUUCUGUGGGCCAAUUGCACUUCAUUGGCGCCACACUGCAACUUAGAGGAAGAACUCCUGUAACUCAACCAUUAGUCGAUUAUUCCGGCAAUAUUCUUAUUUAUAAUGGUGAAAUUUUUGGAGGAAUUCAUGUUGAGAGUGAUAGCAAUGAUGGUGAAAUUCUCAUGAAAACUCUGGGAAGGUGCUGCUCCUGCAGUUCUCGAGAACAUACAAGUGCUUGCUCUGGCAGUGGAAAAGGGAAAAGUUCUGUUCUAGAUGUUCUUUCAACAAUCAAGGGCCCAUGGGGUGUAAUCUAUUGGCAGAAUAGUUCAAGAACACUGUGGUUUGGACGGGAUGCAUUUGGUAGGCGUAGCCUUCUCGUUCAUUGGCCAACCAUGAAGGACUCUCGGUUUCUGCUAUCUUCUGUAUCACCAUUUUCUUCUGUUGAUCAGAGUUCUGGUAUAUAAUGAUUGGUAGAGCUUUUCUUAUCUUGAUUCUCUAAUUACCAUAUGCUUUCUGGAUGGUUGUGAAGAUUAGUUGCAUGAUCUGGAACAAUGAUUUCCAAUAAAAGGAGCAAGGUUUCUGUUAACAUUUUGUUUUAUUGUUUCAAGUUGGAUAAUAUUACUUUCUUUAUCUUCAGCAUAAUCAAAAUUCUUGAUUGCUUUUGUCUGUUUCUUUUAUGCUUGUCUGGUUUUAUUCCCUGUUACUUUCCAUUGUUUUAUAUUUAUUGAAUGCAUUACUAGAGUGCAUUCCACCAGAUCAAUAAAAAGUUUUGGCUUUGCAUAUAAAUUUGUUUAAUAAGCAUUAUUACCAUUUUAAAAUCUGGGGGAGUGUCUGCAAUGAUCUGAUGUUCAUAUUAACUACAUACCUUGGGGAACCACAGAAUAUGCAUCACUUUAUGGAUGCAACUGUAAAUCAUGAUACACUGGUAACAAUUUUCUAACACAUGCCAUUAAGUUGGUGCAGAUCUUGGAGUUGAAGAUAGUACAAACCCCAAUUUUUGGGAGGAGCUUUCAUGUGGGGUAUACAGUUUGUCAAUGAGUUCUUCAAAACUGUAUGGAUGUCUUUUUGGUGAAGUCAAGAAACAUGAAUGGGCUAAUGCCAGGCUGAUAGACCUGAUUAAAUGGGAGAGAGUUUCUGUUGAACCUAAACCAGAAGACAUAUAUUUUUCAUGUGGGCCUAAUGAAAGCUCUGUUUCAUUGCCAGCUCAGAAUGUGUUAAGUUCUUUAAGGAGAUCUGUGAUGCUACGCACGUCACUGCAUAAAAUUUUUCAGGCAGGAACAUCUGAUAGUGGACAAGAGGAACUUGUUCCUGUGGCAGUCCUGUUUUCUGGUGGUUUGGAUUCUAUGAUACUUGCAGCAUUAUUGGAUGAGUGCCUAGAUACCAGCUAUGGAAUUGAUUUACUGAAUGUGAGCUUUGAUGGUCGGUUUGCUCCUGAUAGAAUCUCUGCCAAGGCAGGUGUAGAGGAACUUAGAAGAAUCGCACCAUUGAGAAGGUGGAAACUUGUAGAGAUUGAUGCUGAUUUGUCAAAGUUGACUUUGGAAAUGAAGCAUGUUAUGUCUCUCAUUAACCCUGCAAAUACCUACAUGGACCUGAAUAUAGGAAUUGCUUUAUGGCUGGCUGCAAGAGGUUAUGGUUGGGUCUAUGAAGGAACUGGCAAUAACAAUGUUGAGAAUCAACAGCGCAUUAGAUACAAAUCCAAGGCCAGGAUUGUCCUGGUUGGCUCUGGUGCUGAUGAGCAGUGUGCUGGUUAUGGAAGGCAUAAAACAAAAUAUAGAUGUGGAAGUUGGCUUGGGCUCAAUGAGGAGAUGAAGUUGGACAUGCAAAGAAUAUGGAAGCGAAACAUGGGGAGAGAUGAUAGAUGCAUUUCAGAUAAUGGAAAGGAGGCUAGAUUCCCUUUCUUGGAUGAAGAUGUUAUUAGGACUCUUCUUGAUAUUCCUUUGUGGGAGGUUGCUAACCUUAAUCAACCCAAUGGGACAGGUGAUAAGAAGAUCCUGAGAGAGGUUGCAAAAAUGCUUUGUUUACAUGAGGCAGCAGUUCUUCCGAAACGAGCAAUCCAGUUUGGUUCGAGAAUUGCAAGGGAAUCCAAUCGAAGGAAUUUUGGAAGUAAUCGUGCGGCAAACCAGGCAUCUGCUGGGAGUGUAGUAAUAAAUAUGCCAUAGCAACGUAUAUACUAUCAAUGCUUGGUACUGCAAACCUUGAUGGCUGUUCCAAGUCAUGUGUUCCUCUGAUCCUAGAACUGUGGCCAACAUGGAGCGAUCUUGAGCCAGCAUCAGGCAGCUGCACCUUUUCGGCGAGCAUUUGCAACUGUUUCUGUCAAUGGAAUUGGAAGGCAUCAGAGAUGCCAAUUGUGCUGUUGAUUUUUGAACUGGCUUUUGAGAAGAAUAUGGGCAAUCAGUAUUCUUGCUGGAUUGAAUCCAGUGCCUAUCACAACAGCAAGUGUUUGAGGAGUUUCAGCUGUCGGAGCGCUUUAAGACUUUCUGUUAAAAUGUGUAUGUUGUGAGAUUUUCAUUUAAACCCUAAUUUAUCAUUUUCUAUCUCCCCUUUACAAGCUUUACAAGAGGUUAUUUAGUGGCUGUUAGCAUUUAAAUCUCACCAAUUAUUAAAAUUUUCUGCAGGGUUUU